CCCUUCGAUGUUCGGAGCUGCACGCGCGCUACACUGUGGGUGGCAGCAUGUUAGCUUGCCUCGCUCGCAAGAGUGGGGUAAUCGUUUGAAAAUCCCACGUGAUUGGGAUAGGGACUUGUAAUUAUUUCCCUUGAACGAGGAAUCCCUAGUAAGUGCAGGUCAUCAGCUUGCGCUGAUUACGUCCCUGCCCUUUGUACACACCGCCCGUCGCACCUACCGAUUGAAUGGUCCGGUGAAGCCUCGGGAUUGCGAAUGCUUCGUGCGGACGCGAGAACUUGGCUAAACCUUACCAUUUAGAGGAAGGUGAAGUCGUAACA
RNAcentral lists this ribosomal RNA (317 nucleotides) under uncultured eukaryote. RNAcentral's name for it is "partial 18S ribosomal RNA". It matches the Rfam family "Eukaryotic small subunit ribosomal RNA", at positions 1470 to 1796 of the family's 1831-position model. The record is from RNAcentral.